Molecule: ribosomal RNA, 497 nt
Filed under: uncultured bacterium
Lineage: Bacteria
Description: partial 16S ribosomal RNA
Rfam family: Bacterial small subunit ribosomal RNA
Source: RNAcentral
GAUGAACGCUGGCGGCGUGCCUAAUACAUGCAAGUCGAGCGAACAGACGAGGAGCUUGCUCCUCUGACGUUAGCGGCGGACGGGUGAGUAACACGUGGAUAACCUACCUAUAAGACUGGGAUAACUUCGGGAAACCGGAGCUAAUACCGGAUAAUAUAUUGAACCGCAUGGUUCAAUAGUGAAAGACGGUUUUGCUGUCACUUAUAGAUGGAUCCGCGCCGCAUUAGCUAGUUGGUAAGGUAACGGCUUACCAAGGCAACGAUGCGUAGCCGACCUGAGAGGGUGAUCGGCCACACUGGAACUGAGACGCGGUCCAGACUCCUACGGGAGGCAGCAGUAGGGAAUCUUCCGCAAUGGGCGAAAGCCUGACGGAGCAACGCCGCGUGAGUGAUGAAGGUCUUCGGAUCGUAAGACUCUGUUAUUAGGGAAGAACAAAUGUGUAAGUAACUAUGCACGUCUUGACGGUACCUAAUCAGAAAGCCACGGCUAACUACGUG